UGGCUCAGUGGUAGAGUGCUUGCCUUACAUGCAUGAGACCCUGGGUUCAAUUCCUCAG
RNAcentral lists this transfer RNA (58 nucleotides) under Dipodomys ordii (Ord's kangaroo rat). It matches the Rfam family "tRNA", at positions 8 to 63 of the family's 71-position model. From Rfam's summary of the family: Transfer RNA (tRNA) molecules are approximately 80 nucleotides in length. Their secondary structure includes four short double-helical elements and three loops (D, anti-codon, and T loops). The record is from Rfam by way of RNAcentral. Lineage: Eukaryota; Metazoa; Chordata; Mammalia; Rodentia; Heteromyidae.